CCUACGGGAGGCAGCAGUGAGGAAUAUUGGUCAAUGGCCGGAAGGCUGAACCAGCCAUGCCGCGUGAAGGAAGAAGGCUUUCGGGUUGUAAACUUCUUUGCUGAGGGACGAAGAAAGUGACGGUACCUCAGGAAUAAGCCACGGCUAACUACGUGCCAGCAGCCGCGGUAAUACGUAGGUGGCAAGCGUUAUCCGGAUUUAUUUGGUGAAAGGGGCGUGUAGGCGGGAAAGCAAGUCAGAUGUGAAAACUCAGGGCUCAACCCUGAGCCUGCAUUUGAAACUGUUUUUCUUGAGUGCUGGAGAGGCAAUCGGAAUUCCGUGUGUAGCGGUGAAAUGCGUAGAUAUACGGAGGAACACCAGUGGCGAAGGCGGAUUGCUGGACAGUAACUGACGCUGAGGCGCGAAAGCGUGGGGAGCAAACAGGAUUAGAUACCCCUGUAGUC
RNAcentral lists this ribosomal RNA (443 nucleotides) under uncultured bacterium. Its description in RNAcentral is "partial 16S ribosomal RNA". It matches the Rfam family "Bacterial small subunit ribosomal RNA", at positions 338 to 795 of the family's 1533-position model. The record is from RNAcentral.